RNAcentral lists this ribosomal RNA (903 nucleotides) under uncultured crenarchaeote. RNAcentral describes it as "bacterial SSU rRNA". It matches the Rfam family "Archaeal small subunit ribosomal RNA", at positions 21 to 903 of the family's 1478-position model. Lineage: Archaea; Thermoproteati; Thermoproteota. The record is from RNAcentral.
CCCCACUGCUAUCGAGGUGGGACUAAGCCAUGCCAGUCGAACGACCCGGACUAUGGCGGGGAGUGGCAGACUGCUCAGUAACACGUAGCUAACCUACCCUCGGGACGGGGAUAACCCCGGGAAACUGGGGCUAAUACCCGAUAGGUAUGGAUUCCUGGAAUGGUGCCAUGCCUAAACGUAAGCACAUCCAUGUUUGUGUGCACGCCCGAGGAUGGGGCUGCGGCCGAUCAGGCAGUUGGUGAGGUAACGGCUCACCAAACCUUUGACCGGUACGGGCCAUGAGAGUGGUAGCCCGGAGAUGGGCACUGAGACAAGGGCCCAGGCCCUACGGGGCGCAGCAGGCGCGAAACCUCCACAAUUCACGCAAGUGAGAUGGGGUUACCUCGAGUGCCAUCUGAAGAAGGUGGCUUUUCCAUGGUGUAAUGAGCCGUGGGAAUAAGGGGGGGGCAAGACUGGUGUCAGCCGCCGCGGUAACACCAGCCCCCCGAGUGGUGGGGAUGAUUAUUUGGCCUAAAGCGUCCGUAGCCAGCUCGGUAAAUCUCUCGUUAAAUCCAGCGUCCUAAGCGUUGGGCUGCGAGGGAAACUGCCGAACUAGAGGGUGGGAGAGGUCAGCGGUAUUCCUGGGGUAGGGGCGAAAUCCAUUGAUCCCAGGAGGACCACCAGUGGCGAAGGCUGCUGACUAGAACACGCCUGACGGUGAGGGACGAAAGCUGGGGUAGCGAAUCGGAUUAGAUACCCGAGUAGUCCCAGCCGUAAACGAUGCAGGCUAGGUGUUGGGUCGGCCAUGCGCCGCCUCAGUGCCACAGGGAAGCCAUUAAGCCUGCCGCCUGGGGAGUACGGCCGCAAGGCUGAAACUUAAAGGAAUUGGCGGGGGAGCACCACCAGGCGUGAAGCCUGCGGUUU